GAUUCGGUCCGCGCAGAGCGCCAACUGGACGUGGUCCUAGAGGUUGGGUGGUCAGACACUGUGAUCCCGGGUGCUGUGCCCGCGCUACGGGAAGGGGAAGCAGCGCGUGGGUCUCGCAUCAGGAGGCGAGGCCAGGACCCGCUGACCCAUGCCUCCUACCGUGGUCAGAGCCCAAGUUUGUCAAGGUAUUUUGGAUCCCGGAGAGCGAGAACCCAGACGACGACAAAAUCUACUUCUUCUUUCGUGAGACGGCGGUAGAGGCGGCGCCGGCACUGGGACGCCUGUCCGUGUCCCGCGUUGGCCAGAUCUGCCGGAACGACGUGGGCGGCCAGCGCAGCCUGGUCAACAAGUGGACGACGUUCCUGAAGGCGCGGCUGGUGUGCUCGGUGCCCGGCGUCGAGGGCGACACCCACUUCGAUCAGCUCCUGCCCCAGCAAGACCUUUGGCACCUUCAGUUCCACCAAGGACUUCCCAGAUGAUGUCAUCCAGUUUGCGCGGAACCACCCCCUCAUGUACAACUCUGUCCUGCCCAUUGGGGGGCGCCCUCUUUUCCUACAAGUUGGAGCCAAUUACACCUUCACUCAAAUUGCCGCG
This 594-nucleotide small RNA is filed under the name Pongo abelii (Sumatran orangutan). Its description in RNAcentral is "retained intron". The record is from RNAcentral. Lineage: Eukaryota; Metazoa; Chordata; Mammalia; Primates; Hominidae.